UAUCAUAAGAAUAGCCUUUAUUCGUUUUCUAAUAGCUGCCUUUCUGUGCUUAUUUAUUUUAUUUCAAAAAACUAUUUAACACGUGUAUUUAAAAUCACGCACUUCACAGAAUACACGGUGUGUAAUUCGCCACAGGCUUCAUUAGACCUCAAAAAAAGGUCCUUUAAUGUGGAGUUAUUCAGCAAUUUCUGAAAACAUGUGGCGGGUGAUGUACGAUAGGAGCGAGACGAGUUUGGCUGUAGCCUGUCGUACCGUCCAUCAUCACUAGGUGUCGCUGUAGUAAACAAACGAAAGACUCUUUCCAGAUCAUCUCUUUCUGCAUGCCCUGAGGUUGGUAGAUGGAAAAGACUUUAGCAGGGCAAUGCUGCUUCGCCAGGAAAGCCUGUGUGUAUGUGAGGACUGCUUCAGGUCUAUUCUGGGGUUGCUGCUGCUGCUGCUGCUCCAUAAUACAAUUCUCUCAAUGGUCUCAUGAGUUAGGAGUCAGAGCAGGUGCUUCAUUGUUACCACUGGCACUCUGGUUGUUUUGCUACCUGCUUUAAAGACGUUUCUCUGGAGUGAACUG
Molecule: long non-coding RNA, 562 nt
Organism: Cyprinus carpio (common carp)
Lineage: Eukaryota; Metazoa; Chordata; Actinopteri; Cypriniformes; Cyprinidae
Exons: 4
Source: RefSeq, a predicted model, not a curated record